RNAcentral lists this long non-coding RNA (5699 nucleotides) under Homo sapiens (human). RNAcentral's name for it is "HSALNT0323943". Lineage: Eukaryota; Metazoa; Chordata; Mammalia; Primates; Hominidae. The record is from RNAcentral.
CGGGGUUUCACCAUGUUGGCCAGGCUGGUCUCGAACUCCUGACCUCGUGAUCUGCCUGCCUUGGGCUCCUGAGUGUUUUCAGAUAAGUAGAUAUUAAGUGACUGACUGAGUAAAGGGAUACACUGGAUCUAUGGAAGUCUUGAUCCAAAAAGCUCUCCAUUGUCCAGUCAGACUCCCUUUUCCAUCUCCAGGGCAGACCAGGGCAUGGUAUAAACUGACUCCACUCCUUGUGUGUAAUACAGUGUCUUCCUAGAGAGGGCGUCUGUCAUUCCACCCCCAGGGACUGCUUGGCAUCUGUGUGGCAGGGGCCAUGCUGUUCCCCGCUGGGAGCACCAUCCUACAGUAAUCUCUGUGCAGGAUGCUAUUAUAAGAAAGACUUGGGACUUUGUCCCCACUCUGCAACCUCACACCCCAAACUGGGAAGGUGCUGAGAAACCGAAGAUUGGCUCGGACAAGUCCAGCUUGGCCAGUAGAUGACUCUAUUGAGGGCCCUCCUGGGUGGCGGCAGGACAGCUCUAGAGGUUCGCACUGCUGCCAUCACUAAGCAAAGUCUCUGGUUCCUGGCCUGCUGUGUGUGAUGGGACUGCCUUCCUGGGUAGGUUCCCAGAUACUCCCAGGGACACACGCUCCUCGCUGGGCCCCCCUGGCCUUGGCUCCUUGCCUGGCCUUCAGGGUUCAGGCAGUGGACAUCCACCCCACGUGACAUGGUGGGACACCUGUCACACCACCGAUGCCCCUGCAGAUGGGCCACGCAACAGCCCUCGGGCCUUCCUGUCUCAGAGCAGGGCUGAUCACAGUCAGGCCCACUGCAGUGGAGAAAGACUGUGCAGAGCUAGACGCUGGACUCGGAUCCUCUCUAGCGUGGGACAGGCACUGGGCACCCAGGUCAGCUGCAGUUCCUGAGAGAGGGCAGCCCCAGAGUCAGAAUCAAGGUGUCAAUAAUAGGAGAAACGAUGGUGGGGAGGAGACCAAGGCAUUAAUAUAGGAACUCUGUAUACUUUCCAGUCAAUUUUUCCAUAAAACUAAAACUGCUCUAAAAAAGGAGUCUGUUAAUUUUUUAAAAUCUCAAAAAGAAUGUGGCUGGUGCCACAAUGAACAAUUUGAGUGAGAAGCUACUCAACGAGGUCAGAGGCAUCAGAGAGGAAGAACACAGCAGCCUGUUUUCUUUGCUGCUCUUUACCGUUAGAAAGAACACUUUUACAACAGACUCUGUUUGAGGACAAACGCUCCACAUUUUUGCCCGCUGGCAGCAGUCAUAAAUUAUGAGAUUUCUGAGGGGCACAAAACUGCAGCGGUCUAAACCAGGCAACAAAAAUCAGCCAAGUCCUUAUCAGGAUCCCCUACAAAUUCUAUUGACUUUUUUGGAUCUGUUUGUCCCUAGGUGUGAACUAGGGAAAAGUCAGGCGAGUCUGCCUUGCUAGUAUAUUUAAAAGAGGAUCUUGGAGAAUUUGAAAGAAAAUGUGGAAGAAGAAAUGACAGUGCUUGGUGAAAGUCAGCAGAAGGGCUUGAUAAUGGAACAGACUAAGGGUGGUGGAUAGUUUUAAGGUUGAGAGAGAAAUGGAAUUAAAAAAAAGGGAGAUAUUCCUGGGGGCUUGAAGCAAGAAGCAGCAGCCGAGAGCAGCGCUGAUCAGGAUGUGAAGGGAGCUUGGUGCGGAGGGCAGUGCUUCCUAUGAGAAAAAGUCCAGUGGUCAAUCUUUUGGGAAGGAGCUGGUGGGAUGAGGGGGCAGCUGGACUGACCUGAGUGCUGUUGUACUGUCUGACCAUCUCCUUUGUAAACAGACGCUCCACACUCAUGCUCAGAGCAGCAUUAUUCACAGCAGCCAGGAGGGGGACGUCGCCCAGGUGUUCCUCGGUGGAUGAAUGGAUAAAGAAAAUGUAAACACACAGUGGAAUCUUACUCAGCCUUGAAAAGGAAGGAAAGUCCAUCCAACACAUGCUACUGCAUGGACGAACUUUGGACAGUGAGCUAAGUGAAAGGAGACAGUCACAAAAGGACAAAUACCAGAUGAUCCCACCUGCGCGAGAUGAUUUGGGAGGACAGCCAUUCUCAUCGGUAUAAUGAACGUAUUGUAAGCUGUGACUUUUACAAAGUCUGAGGGAAACCAAUCUGCAAUCUUGACAGAUACGAUCUUUCCAGAUGCACUGUUCGUUUACGGCGGCAAGAGAGCUCAAUUAAUUUCUGAGGGAGGACGGCAGGAUGCGACCCCUUGUGCGUGGCCUAGGAGGAACUGUCCCUGUGUGAAUUUAUGUUCUGGUAAUUUAAAAAGAUUUAUAUUAAGCUUUUCUUUCAUUUUGAGAGUAGAUUAAAAUUCUAAUGGAAACCAUUUGUAUGCAUUUGUUGAAUUGAAGAGUAUUUAUGGCUGUGUAAAAAAAAUGCUGCAAAAUUCUGCCGAUAAUAAAGUCAGUGAAGCAAGAAUAAGUGUAAAAACAGGAAGGAAAUACGCGAUAGAAACCAUACUGUAUUAUACAAGUAUAAUGAGGGAGGCAAGCCGAGCAGAACGGGGCAGGGAUUAGGCCCCCGGAUGGGAUAGUUUUUCUUAUUUAGUGUAAGGCUUUUGUAGCCCUUUUAUGACUUAAAACAAAAUUUAAAUUUUGAAACAGGCCAGGUCAGUCUGCACAGACCCCAUGGCCACAUCACUGUGUCACAUCAUUCUUGAACUCCUGCCGGUGUCUAGGACAAACAGGCAGGAAAGAAAAUCCAAGCGGCGUCUCAGAGAAAAGAUGCUGAUGGCAGGAAAAGAAGACCCAUGAAACAGGAGGCGGGGGUCAGCGAGCAAGGUGAAAAUCAGAGCCCCGGAGUGCAGUGCAGGUGGAAGAGAGGUAGCAAAACCAGGGAAGUCGCCGUGCUCGGGACAGUCCAGUGUGUCCCUGGCAUCCCCAGUCAUUGCCGUGGCCACCUGAUCAGAACCUGUACAGAAGCUGCCCCAUCUCCUCCACGGUGAGGGCCAAGUUGCAUGUGCCACAGCCCUGUCGGUGACCUUUCUGCGGGCUGGGGAAGCAGAGACAACGGCCUGACAAUCUGCAGGCACAGCCAUCCAAGGGGACAGGGUCCAUGCAACAGCCACCAGAGAAAGCUCCUCACUGCCACCUUUGCAGAGGGAGAAAAGCAGAAAGCAUCGUGGAGGCCCUUUAUCAUGUUGGAAGGCCAGAGACAUUUGGCAUUCCGUCAAGGUCCAUCUUAGAGUUGAGAGAGAGUUUCACCAGGAAACUCACAUUCUCUCAGAACUAGCAGCCGUGAUCGCAUGUCGAAGUCAGGCAACGCCAAGCGUGAUGGUUAACAGCGCUAAGACAGGAGAAAAUGGAAAUUCCCUGAGAGUCCACUGCUCUGCUCCUGCGGCGGUGCUUUUCCCCCUCGUUGUAAGCAUGCUCUUUACCAGAGCUGCACGGAUGUCAUAAACUGCCUCACGAUGCACUAGAGCAGAAUCGUGCGUUAGCAAAUUUCACAGAUGCAAAGUGGGAUUUCUGUCAAUGGAAGCCUGCAUGGAAAAUACGGAACAGCUUAAGAAAGUACUGUCUUCUCUCAAAAUUCCACAGGAGCCUGAAAUGCAGGGGUUCCGGCCUAGGCGUUUUUUGAGGCAAAUAACGUCGCCACACGGCCGAGAUACAGGCCCCUUUUUGCCCCAUGAGACUUACUGGCCUCAGAGUCCGGCCGCUUCUGUUUUGUUUCUUCAUGUAUCCUUGGCUUCUAGCGCAGUUCCUGGUACACAGCAGGCGCUCAAUACAUAUUUGCUGAGCUAAGCAAAUAUGUCCUAGGCCCUGUGGAAGAUACGACAUGAGGAAGACCAGGUCCCUGCCAAAAAGGCACCGAGGGCCCAGGCUGGGGAGGGUAGUGCUGACAUCGAGUAGGCCUUCAGCUCUGACCCCAGCUUCAUUUUAAGUGACUAGGAACAAAUUCUCAAAACUUCUUUUCUAUCAACUCUUCUUCACCCCCAAUAUCACAGCACAACUGUCUGUCAUUGAUGGAGUUCCUGCAAUAAGACAAGCGCUAGAAGUUUACCAUAUUUGUAUCCUUACUGGAUUCCCAAAUUAAUCCUAGUAAGCAAGUGACAUGAUUGUUUUUAGUAGAGACAGGGUUUCACUUUGUUGGCCAGGCUAGUCUUGAACUCCUGACCUCAAGUGAUCCACCCACCUCAGCCUCCCAAAGUGCUGGGAUUAGGAAAAUGAAUACUUUUGCAAGCACAAUGACAGGAGUGUCAAAGGAGGUAGGCUCCACACUCUGAUGUCUCUUUAUCAGUGAGGCCUUUUCUGACUCCCUCACAUGAAGAGCAAACUCACUUCCCUUGUGCCAAAGCACUCAACAUAUAUGACAUCCCACACGGGGUAGGCUGAAUCGUGGCCCUUAAAGUAUGUCCAUGUUCCAAUCCUUAGAACAUGUGAAUGUAUUACCUUAUGUGGCAAAAUGGACUUUGCAGACAUGAUUAAGUUAAGGAUCUUGAGAUUUCAGGAAAAUUAUCUUGGAUCAUUCAGGUAGGCCUGACAUAAUCACAAGAGCCCUUACAAGAGAGAGGCAGGAGGCCAGAGGCAGAGAGCUACACUGCGGAGCUGCUUUGCAGAUGGAGGAAGGGGCCACCGAGACCUGAGAAAGUCAAGGAGACAGAUUCUCCCCUGGAGCCUCCAGAGGGAACCAGCCCUGCUCACACCGUCAUUUCAGCCCUGCAAGACUUGUUUGGGCUUCUGACGUCAAGAACUGGGACAGAAUGAAUUUGUGAUGUUUUAGGCCACUAGAUCUGUGGUAAUGUGUUAUAGCAGAAAUAGGAAACUAACACAACUCAUCUCUACUUGUGUAUAUGUUUGUUAUCCGUCUUCCUCUGCUGGGACAUGAAAUCCGCAACAAGUGGAGGCAAAGCCAGGGACUUUGUCUAUUAUGUUGACUGGCAUCCUUAGUGCUCAGAACAGAGCUCAGAAUAAUAAAUAUUUGUUGAAUGAGCAAAGACGGAGGGGGCAGUCGCAGGAAGGGGGCCUACCGCGUGGCUAAGGGCCCUGAGGUAUGAAAGAUCUGAGAUGCUGGUGGACGUGGCUGCUUCCCGAGCUGAACUGGGGAAGUGGUGGGGAGGUGGGAGAUGUCGGGGAGCUGAUGCUGGGGCAGUUUAUACUUUAUUCUGCAAAUGAAGAAUUAUUGAUGGGUUUCAUGUAGAGUCAUGAUCAUAUUUCUUGAUUGCGUUUUUUUUUUGUUUUGUUUUGUUUUGUUUUUUUGAGACAGAGUCUCACUCUGUCGCCGAGGCUGGAGUGCAGUGGUGCGAUCUUGGCUCACUGCAACCUCCGCCUCCUGGAUUCAAGCUUCCCGAGUAGCUGGGAUUACAGGUGCAUGCCACCAUGCCCGGCUAAUUUUUGUAUUUUUAGUAGAGACGGAGUUUCACCAUGUUAGUCAGGCUGGUCUCAAACUCCUGACCUCGUGAUCCACCCACCUCAACCUCCCAAAGUGCUGGGAUUACAAGCGUGAGCCACUGCGCCUGGCCUCCUGAUUGCUUUUUAAGUAAUUUUUUAAAAAUAAUUUUUCUCUUUAUUAUUAAAUGUUAGAAAUAUAUGGAAACGUGGGCAAAAAGUAAAAAUCACUCAAAUCUCAUUCCUAGAGUUAGUCACUAUUAAUAUUUUGGUGUAUGUGUAUUUCUUCCUUCAACAUUCAGAUUAUAUACUUUUUUGAAACUGGCUUUUUUCUCUUAAUGUGAAUUUCUCCAUGUCAUUAAAUAUUCUCCUAAAAA